This is a non-coding RNA of Acanthosepion pharaonis, 112 nucleotides long. The record is from the annotation of a GenBank genome assembly. Lineage: Eukaryota; Metazoa; Mollusca; Cephalopoda; Sepiida; Sepiidae.
UACAGCCAUAUCACAUUUAAACACUAGUUCUCAUACGAUCAUCGAAGUUAAGCAAGGUUAAGCCUGGUUAGUAUCUAGAUGGGUGACUGCUUGGGAAUACCAGGUGCUGUAA